Phacochoerus africanus (Common warthog) is the source of this 106-nucleotide small nuclear RNA. Lineage: Eukaryota; Metazoa; Chordata; Mammalia; Artiodactyla; Suidae. The record is from RefSeq and is a predicted model, not a curated record.
GUGCUGCUUUGGCAGCACAUAUACUGAAAUUGGAACUAUACAGAGAAGAUUAGCAUGGCCUCUGUGCAAGGAUGAUCUGCAAAUUCAUGAAGUAUUCCAUAUUUUU